Molecule: long non-coding RNA, 150 nt
Organism: Haliotis rubra (blacklip abalone)
Lineage: Eukaryota; Metazoa; Mollusca; Gastropoda; Lepetellida; Haliotidae
Exons: 3
Source: RefSeq, a predicted model, not a curated record
CAUGACUUCGUACACUCAAGCUCUUGACCUCGUGAUCAGGUUCCCUUUGAACUUUGACAUCUGGGCCCCUCCUCGCCAAGUAGAAGAUAAGUGUCGCCCGUCUCGUAACAGAUCACUGAACCAUAGUCAAAGAGUAUCUCUCCAGCUGAU